Long non-coding RNA from Peromyscus eremicus (cactus mouse), 2088 nucleotides. RefSeq lists it as uncharacterized. NCBI's taxonomy places the organism in Eukaryota, Metazoa, Chordata, Mammalia, Rodentia, Cricetidae. The record is from RefSeq and is a predicted model, not a curated record. The transcript is spliced from 5 exons.
GCCACAGAGAGGCCUGCCUCCAGGAGCUUCCUUGAGAGGUUGAGGCACAUGCUAAGAGCAAAGCUUCUGACUGCAGAUAUGGGACUCGAAAGGGAGUUGAUGCGCCCUUGAUGUAAAACCAGAUUUCCCGGUCCUGGCCUCAGCCUAGCUCCUGAGCCUCACUGCUCUCCAGAUCAACUACCCUCUAUUUAAAAUGGAGAUUAUCGACUCCAGCAAGGAAAGCAGCCUCAUCCUGAUGGCUCUACUGAGCACAUGCUAUUGUUCCAAAAUAAGGACACUGAACACAAAGUGCAUGGCUUUCUGAGACUACAGACUGGCAAGCCACAGAGAUGCAAACUGAGAAUCUACACAGAAGUACUUACUUAAUGCUUAAAAAAGGAAUGGGUAUUCAGCAUGGAUAAGUGAAAAUUUGGACCCUUUUCAUGCCACAACUUUUAAUCACUCUGGAGAAUCAAACUGAAUGAGGCACAGAACCCAUGACACAUGUAAAGGCUCUUGGAUGUUCCUGCAAUAGCUAAAGGAGAGUUUCAAUCAGCUAGCUUAUUUGCAGUUUUAAGAGGUACACCCAACACAUGCUCUCAGGAUUUCAAUCAGAAGAAAGAACUGACUUAAAACUCAUCCCCUAUGAUCACUCUAGCCACUUUGCACCCACUGAACUUGGCGCUUUGGCUACAUCAGCUCUGAAGAGUCAUCGAAGGUCAGCAAUGACCAGUGAGGUUUGAGGGAGCUACUGUCUCUAGAAAAAUACACCAGAUAAAUUCCUGCAGAGUGUCAGAGGACAAGGGACAACUGAACACCUUUAAAGAAACCAUACUGAAGAGAUGGAAGGCAACCAUCUCUAAACACAGACAAAUCCAAGUGGUUUCCUACAGUACAUGGAAAUAUGAUGUCCUCACCUUGAGACGCCUGAAGGAAAGGUCAUAUUCUUGUAACAUUCAUUUUCCUAUCAUGCCAUGCCUGGAGGGGAUGACUGGGGUACUGCUGGAGAUAUCAUUCUGGAAUGUGAGCUAGGGCAGGGACACUACAUUGGAACCUCUGGAAGCACAGAAGGCCAGACUACUUCAGUUACACUGCUUGUUAUAGAAUGCAAGAGGAGUGUGUUCUUAUUUAUAACACUGAAGAAUACCAAGACUAAAGGGGUCAUUCACUCUUGUCAUCUGAGUCACCUCAAGUCCCUGUGCACCAUCCUAUACUGCACAGUCAUCCCUGACUGCACUCCAUGGCGAUGCUCCGAGAAUGUCUUCAUUGUUCUCCAUGAGUCACCUUGUAUCCCUCAUCUGACAGAGAGUUAAGCAGUGUGAUGAAAACUUUGAAUUUGGGUCCCGGGCUACUUUGUCACUCAGCAAAACAGCAGGGAUUGAGAUUUUUGUUGUCAAUGAGUUGAAACCCUAAGUUUGGAAAGGAAUGAAAUUAAGUAUAGAACUUUCUAGGAGGACAUAGUCUUCACUUCCAGUCUGGGGAAGACUCCCUUCUGUAUUGGAAUGCCUGUGCAUGUAUCACAGAACUUUGUGAGACUAUAUAAAUUUUCAGAAAUACUGUGGCAUUGCCCUUCUGUGUCUGUGGGUUCUGCAUCUGCAGACCCAGUUAACCAGAGAUAGAAAAUAUUUGCAGGGGGAAGCUGUAUCAGUACUGAACACAUACCAACUUCUAGCCAUUAUUUUAUAGUGUAGUACAUUAAUUAAUAAGAUAACCUAUAGUAUAUUAUUGUAAGCAAUGUGGAGAUGACUUAAAGUGUUUAGAAUGAUGUGUGUAUAAUUUGCAUGAAAAUAGUAUGCCAUAUUAUGAAAGAGACUUGAGCAUCUGUGGAUUUCGACAUCCAUGGAAAAUUCUCAAACUGGUCCCACACAAGUAUCAAGGGGUAAUGAUAUGGAAAGGAAAGACAUGAUAUAAAAAACACCUGAAAGGGCGUAAUUAUUGAUAUUUGUUAUGUUUUAGAUUUCAAAUGUCCCCCUAAAGUUCAUGCACUGAAGGCUCGGUCCAUAAUGCAUCAGUAUUCAGAUAUGAGGCUUCUGGGAAAUGGAUGAGGAACCUUUGUGAACUGACGGACUCAUUUAUAGAUUCACAUUUAAUAGGCUAGUGGGUAGUGGC